This 406-nucleotide ribosomal RNA is filed under the name uncultured bacterium. RNAcentral describes it as "partial 16S ribosomal RNA". It matches the Rfam family "Bacterial small subunit ribosomal RNA", at positions 30 to 526 of the family's 1533-position model. The record is from RNAcentral.
AUUGAACGCUGGCGGCAGGCCUAACACAUGCAAGUCGAACGAGUGGCGGACGGGUGAGUAAUGUCUGGGAACCUGCCUAAUGGAGGGGGAUAACUACUGGAAACGGUAGCUAAUACCGCAUACCAUCGGAGAGGCCCAAAUUGGAUUAGCUAGUGGGUGGGGUAAAGGCCCCCCUAGGCAACGAUCCCGAGCUGGUCUGAGAGGAUGACCAGCCACACUGGAACGGAGACACGGUCCAGACUCCUACGGGAGGCAGCAGUGGGGAAUAGUGGACAAUGGGCGCAAGCCUGAUGCAGCCAUGCCGCGUGUAUGAAGAAGGCCUUCGGGUUGUAAAGUACUUUCAGCGGGGAGGCGUUACCCGCAGAAGAAGCACCGGCUAACUCCGUGCCAGCAGCCGCGGUAAUUC